UGGGGAAUUUUGGACAAUGGGGCGCAAGCCUGAUCCAGCCAUGCCGCGUGCAGGAUGAAGGCCUUCGGGUUGUAAACUGCUUUUGUACGGAACGAAAAGGUGCCUUCUAAUAAAGGGCGCUCAUGACGGUACCGUAAGAAUAAGCACCGGCUAACUACGUGCCAGCAGCCGCGGUAAUACGUAGGGUGCGAGCGUUAAUCGGAAUUACUGGGCGUAAAGCGUGCGCAGGCGGUUUUGUAAGACAGAGGUGAAAUCCCGGGCUCAACCUGGGAACUGCCUUUGUGACUGCAAAGCUGGAGUGCGGCAGAGGGGGGAUGGAAUUCCGCGUGUAGCAGUGAAAUGCGUAGAUAUGCGGAGGAACACCGAUGGCGAAGGCAAUCCCCUGGGGCCUGCACUGACGCUCAUGCACGAAAAGCGUGGGGGAGCAAAACAGGAUUAGAUACCCCUGGUAGUCCACG
This 458-nucleotide ribosomal RNA is filed under the name uncultured bacterium. Its description in RNAcentral is "partial 16S ribosomal RNA". It matches the Rfam family "Bacterial small subunit ribosomal RNA", at positions 355 to 799 of the family's 1533-position model. The record is from RNAcentral.